Molecule: ribosomal RNA, 253 nt
Filed under: uncultured bacterium
Lineage: Bacteria
Description: partial 16S ribosomal RNA
Rfam family: Bacterial small subunit ribosomal RNA
Source: RNAcentral
GACGGAGGGUGCAAGCGUUAUUCGGAAUUAUUGGGCGUAAAGAGCGUGUAGGCGGCCGGUUAAGUCAGGUGUGAAAGCCCGGGGCUCAACCUCGGAAGUGAACUUGAAACUGGUCGGCUUGAGUUCGGGAGAGGGAAGCGGAAUUCCGGGUGUAGAGGUGAAAUUCGUAGAUAUCCGGAGGAACAUCGGUGGCGAAGGCGGCUUCCUGGACCGAAACUGACUCUGAGACGCGAAAGCGUGGGGAGCAAACAGG